GACGAACGCUGGCGGCGUGCUUAACACAUGCAAGUCGAACGGAAAGGCCCUGCUUUUGUGGGGUGCUCGAGUGGCGAACGGGUGAGUAACACGUGAGUAACCUGCCCUUGACUUUGGGAUAACUUCAGGAAACUGGGGCUAAUACCGGAUAGGAGCUCCUGCUGCAUGGCGGGGGUUGGAAAGUUUCGGCGGUUGGGGAUGGACUCGCGGCUUAUCAGCUUGUUGGUGGGGUAGUGGCUUACCAAGGCUUUGACGGGUAGCCGGCCUGAGAGGGUGACCGGCCACAUUGGGGCUGAGAUACGGCCCAGACUCCUACGGGAGGCAGCAGUGGGGAAUAUUGCACAAUGGGCGGAAGCCUGAUGCAGCAACGCCGCGUGCGGGAUGACGGCCUUCGGGUUGUAAACCGCUUUCGCCUGUGACGAAGCGUGAGUGACGGUAAUGGGUAAAGAAGCACCGGCUAACUACGUG
Molecule: ribosomal RNA, 468 nt
Filed under: uncultured bacterium
Lineage: Bacteria
Description: partial 16S ribosomal RNA
Rfam family: Bacterial small subunit ribosomal RNA
Source: RNAcentral